AUGCCCCUGCUUACGUGAUACUGAAGAACCUAAAUAUUAUCAGCACUGGUGUAUUAUACCGUAUCAUUCUAAAGAGGAAGUAAGAUUAAGUGAAGUCCAGUGGGCUGCUUUUAUUCUCUUAUGUGCUUUUUGUACUACCGCACAACUUAAUGCAUCUUCAGAUCGUGUU
Molecule: long non-coding RNA, 169 nt
Organism: Asparagus officinalis (garden asparagus)
Lineage: Eukaryota; Viridiplantae; Streptophyta; Magnoliopsida; Asparagales; Asparagaceae
Exons: 3
Source: RefSeq, a predicted model, not a curated record